UACAGGCCUAACACAUGCAAGUCGAACGGGGAUUUUGUUUCGGCAGAAUCCUAGUGGCGAACGGGUGAGUAACGCGUAGGCAACCUGCCCCCCGGCCGGGGACAACACGCCGAAAGGUGUGCUAAUACCGGAUACGAAGCGAGCACCGCAUGGUGCUUGUUUGAAAGACGGCCUCUAUUUAUAAGCUGUCGCCGGGGGAUGGGCCUGCGUCCGAUUAGCUGGUUGGCGGGGUAACGGCCCACCAAGGCGACGAUCGGUAGCCGGUCUGAGAGGAUGGACGGCCACAUUGGGACUGAGACACGGCCCAGACUCCUACGGGAGGCAGCAGUGGGGAAUAUUGGUCAAUGGGCGAGAGCCUGAACCAGCCAAGUAGCGUGCAGGAUGACUGCCCUAUGGGUUGUAAACUGCUUUUAUAGGGGAAUAAAGUGAGGUAUGUAUACCUUUUUGUAUGUACCCUAUGAAUAAGGACCGGCUAAUUCCGUGCCAGCAGCCGCGGUAAUACGGAAGGUCCGGGCGUUAUCCGGAUUYAYUGGSUUUAAAGGGAGCGCAGGCCGAUGGUUAAGCGUGACGUGAAAUGUAGCCGCUCAACGGCUGAAGUGCGUCGCGAACUGGCUAUCUYGAGUGAGUUCGAUGUGGCGGAAUUCGUGGUGUAGCGGUGAAAUGCUAGAWAUCACGAAAACUCCGAUGCGAAGGCAGCCCCAAGGCCUUUACUGACGCUAAGCUCGAAGGUGCGGGUAUCGAACAGGAUUAGAUACCCUGGUAGUCCGCACGGUAAACGAUGGAUGCCCGCUGUUUGCGAUAUACUGUGAGCGGCCAAGAGAAAUCGUURAGCAUCCCACCUGGGGAGUACGCCGGCAACGGUGAAACUCAAAGGAAUUGACGGGGGCCCGCACAAGCGGAGGAACAUGUGGUUUAAUUCGAUGAUACGCGAGGAACCUUACCCGGGCUUGAACUGCAGCAGAACGAUUCAGAGAUGAUGAGGCCMUUCGGGGCUGCUGUGGAGGUGCUGCAUGGUUGUCGUCAGCUCGUGCCGUGAGGUGUCGGCUUAAGUGCCAUAACGAGCGCAACCCUUUUCUUUAGUUGCCAUCAGGUARUGCUGGGCACUCUGGAGAUACUGCCACCGUAAGGUGUGAGGAAGGUGGGGAWGACGUCAAAUCAGCACGGCCCUUACGUCCGGGGCUACACACGUGUUACAAUGGGGGGUACAGAGAGUCGGAUAUACGCAAGUAUGUUCUAAUCCUUAAAGCCUUCCUCAGUUCGGAUUGGGGUMUGCACCCGACCCCAUGAAGCUGGAUUCGCUAGUAAUCGCGCAUCAGCCAUGGCGCGGUGAAUACGUUCCCGGGCCUUGUACACACCGCCYUARUYUK
This 1367-nucleotide ribosomal RNA is filed under the name uncultured rumen bacterium. Its description in RNAcentral is "bacterial SSU rRNA". It matches the Rfam family "Bacterial small subunit ribosomal RNA", at positions 41 to 1402 of the family's 1533-position model. The record is from RNAcentral.